UCGGGAAUCUUGGGCAAUGGGCGAAAGCCUGACCCAGCAACUCCGCGUGAGGGAUGAAGGCCUUCGGGUCGUAAACCUCUGUCAGAAGGGAAGAACAGCUGGCCGGUAAAUAGUCGGUCGGCCUGACGGUACCUUCAAAGGAAGCACCGGCUAACUCCGUGCCAGCAGCCGCGGUAAUACGGAGGGUGCAAGCGUUGUUCGGAAUCAUUGGGCGUAAAGCGGGUGUAGGCGGUUUGGCAAGUCGAGUGUGAAAUCCCAGGGCCCAACCCUGGAACUGCACUCGAUACUGCUUGACUAGAGUCCCGGAGGGGGUGGCGGAAUUCCCGGUGUAGAGGUGAAAUUCGUAGAUAUCGGGAGGAACACCAGUGGCGAAGGCGGCCACCUGGACGGUGACUGACGCUCAGACCCGAAAGCGUGGGGAGCAAACAGGAUUAGAUACCCCCGUAGUCC
RNAcentral lists this ribosomal RNA (450 nucleotides) under uncultured prokaryote. RNAcentral's name for it is "bacterial SSU rRNA". It matches the Rfam family "Bacterial small subunit ribosomal RNA", at positions 355 to 796 of the family's 1533-position model. The record is from RNAcentral.